This 503-nucleotide ribosomal RNA is filed under the name uncultured bacterium. RNAcentral describes it as "partial 16S ribosomal RNA". It matches the Rfam family "Bacterial small subunit ribosomal RNA", at positions 30 to 523 of the family's 1533-position model. The record is from RNAcentral.
AUUGAACGCUGGCGGCAGGCUUAACACAUGCAAGUCGAGCGGGGUGAUGGUGCUUGCACUAUCACUUAGCGGCGGACGGGUGAGUAAUGCUUAGGAAUCUGCCUAUUAGUGGGGGACAACAUCUCGAAAGGGAUGCUAAUACCGCAUACGUCCUACGGGAGAAAGCAGGGGAUCACUUGUGACCUUGCGCUAAUAGAUGAGCCUAAGUCGGAUUAGCUAGUUGGUGGGGUAAAGGCCUACCAAGGCGACGAUCUGUAGCGGGUCUGAGAGGAUGGUCCGCCAAACUGGGACUGAGACACGGCCCAGGCUCCUACGGGAGGGAGCAGUUGGGAAUAUUGGGCAAUGGGGGGAACCCUGAUCCAGCCAAUCCGGGUGUGGGAAGAAGGCCUUAUGGUUGUAAAGCACUUUAAGCGAGGAGGAGGCUCUUUUGGUUAAUACCCAAGAUGAGUGGACGUUACUCGCAGAAUAAGCACCGGCUAACUCUGUGCCAGCCGCCGCAGUAA